This is a long non-coding RNA of Sitophilus oryzae (rice weevil), 519 nucleotides long. RefSeq lists it as uncharacterized. The transcript is spliced from 4 exons. The record is from RefSeq and is a predicted model, not a curated record. NCBI's taxonomy places the organism in Eukaryota, Metazoa, Arthropoda, Insecta, Coleoptera, Curculionidae.
UAGGCCGUGCCCGCCGAGAAGGACGCCGCGACGUUCAGUUGUCUUGCCGUCCGUUUCGUUGCAGUUUGUCGGUGCGCCAACGAAUCCGCCGCCGUUUCUUGCGAGCGGGCGAUGCGCGUUUGUUUCCGUUCGUCGAGAUCGUCGUUCGUUUGUUUUGGCCGUGUUUGUUUUUGUUUUUUCGACGCCAGGGUGGAAAGCUAGACAAAAGCGCAUCGGCGGGGUUGUGUGACUGUGUUAAGCUGCUGCUCAGCGUCUUUGAUCCAGGAUGGUGUACUAGGCAGGAUUUUGUUGCUGGAUUUCCCGAUGAUGGGACGGUGUUUAGGGGUUGAUGAGGACUGUUUUCAGAGAGGUAUGAAGAAAUUACGGUUCCAUGAGGAAUUUUCAGUUGACAGCUUUGCGUGAUAGAAUAAAUUCGUAGCAAUGCCCAGUUUCACCAGAAUGAAAAGGCUAUUCCUAGAGGGUCUACUAUGGCUAUAUUUGUUACAAUUUGGGCUUACGGUGCUGUCACUUGAACCUGGG